Small nucleolar RNA from Mustela putorius furo (domestic ferret), 179 nucleotides. NCBI's taxonomy places the organism in Eukaryota, Metazoa, Chordata, Mammalia, Carnivora, Mustelidae. The record is from Ensembl.
ACCUUCUUACUUAAGCUCUCUAUUAAAAUUGCAGAAACUAGUGUGAUGUCUUUGUAUUUGUAAUAAAACCAGCAGAUUAAGCUCAAGAAGGAAAGUAACUAUACCAGAUAAUAGAAAAACUGAAAUGAACCUCUUUCUUAAGUCUGUCAUACUUUGUUUUAAGAUUUGGGAUGAGAAUA